UCCUCUAAUUCCCUAAACCUCUCCCCAAACACAAAACCCACGAUUUCAUCCCCAAACCCAAAACCCACGAUUUCUCCCAAAAUCUCUCUAAAUCACCGACGAGUUCUUCUCCAAAUCUCCAUCGGCGAUUUCUCUUCAGCUUUUCCACCGGUCUGCGUAUCGAUCUACUGCCUUUCUUGAGACCGACGGUUUUUGCAUCUCUUCAUAUCAACGUUCAUCUACUGCCGGCAAUCUUCAUCUCCACAUCUCUUGAUCUCCACAUCGAAAUUGGUAUUUCUAUUUCUUCUAUUGGUAUAUUUCGAUUUCUUCUAUUUCUAUCUCCAAAUCGAAAUUGGUAUUUCUUUUUCUAUCUCCACAUCGACAGUUUGGCCAACAUUUACUAAUCUAAACUCUAUAUAUGAAACCAUCUGGUCCAAUCUAACUUCUAUAGGUUUUUAGGAAUGUGAUUAGGAUAGUUGAUUUUGUUGAUUUUUAACAGUUAGAUUGACAGUUGAUCACAUUGCCUAAACUUUAUAAAUAUGUAUCAGUUUUUAUUAAGGAAAUCGUGAAAAAAUUGGUUUAUUUUCUGUUUUUAUUUUAACUAGUUACAACUGGAGCUAGCACCCAACGCGUUACAGACAUAGUUCUCCCAUACUCAUCGAGUCAUCGUCACUUGUCCAGGAGUUUAGGUAUCAGAACGGGCACUUAGACCAAUAGUCCAGUCCAUCUACCUCAAUUGAAGCUAAAGUGCGUGAUGAUCGCUGAAACCUCAAGUGUAAAUAUCACAAAUCAUCUCUGGCCUCUUAGAUUUCAAUCAGAGUUUAUCAGUACCCGAUCUAUCUAUACAGCCUUUUCUCGCAUCUGUGAUCUCCCACGGACCCAUUAAACUAUGUAAAUUUUGGACCUUUGAAAACCAUUUCUUCAAGACCUGAAGAGAAUUAUAUUCCUGAAGGCACAAAGAACCACGUCGAAAUAUGUUCCUUGUCUUCUCCUUUUAACAACGCCGCAAAUUAACUUAUAAAUGAAUAAACUUAUACAUCAGUAAAUUAUAAAGAUUAAAUAAAAUAUUUAUGUAUCUAUUUUUUUAUAAUCCUUUUUAAUAACAUUUAUGUAUCCAAACUUUUUUAAUAAAAUAUUUAUGUAUCUAUACGUUUCUCCAAUCUUUAAUUAAAAGUUUCACAAUCUGAAAAUUUCACAAUUUAUUUUAUAUCAAUUUUCGUUUGUUUAUCGUUUUAUCUUUGGGUUUUUGUUUCGGUUUUUGUUUUAUCUUCCACAUUAUGGUUUUAUUUUUAUUAUUUCUGUUUGGGUUUAGGUUCAUCGUUUUUAUUUAAAUUAUCUUUUCAAUUUAUUAUUUAAAUUAUUUCUGUUGGGGUUUUUGUUUUAAAUUCCCAAUUUGGUGUUUUACUUCCCAAUUUGGUGUUUUACUUCCCAAUUUGGUGUUUUAACUUCCCAAUUUUGUUUUAAUUAUUUUGUUUCUGUUGGGGUUUUUGUUUGGAAUGGACCUUGUUUCUGUUUUAUGUUAAUUUUAUUAUCGUUUUAUUAUUAUUAGUUCAAGUUAUAAUUUUAUUAUUUUGUUUCAACUUCUUGUUUUCAGAUUUUAUCUCUACAUUCCCAAAUUUCCGCCGGACUGCAUAUCUUCAUCUCCUCAUCUAUUGUCGGCGACUUUCAUAGGUAUUUUUCUUUCUUUUUUAAAAAUCCAAAUAAAUUUGAUAUGAAUGUAAUAAAUAAAAUGCAACCAAUGAAUCCUCAUGAAAAUCUUUUAAAAAUGCAACCCAUGUAAUAAAUAAAAGGCAACCCAUGUAAUAAAUUUCUUUUUUCUUUCUUUUUCAAUUAAAAGAAAAUCUUUUAUGUAUGCCCAUGAAUCAGAUAAUACUAUCUUAUUUCCAUUGUUUACAAGUAUAUGGCUUUUAAUUUCAUGAAAAAAAUAGAACCUUGGAAUAAUUUUGUCGGCAGGCCGAGCUGAGCCGAACCGAGCCUGCCGAGCCCGAGCUGAGCCGAGCCUGCCGAGCUGAGCCUUUCUUAUUAUGAUUUAUUUUUUUAAUUUUCAUGCUAUAUUUUUCAUGAUAUAUAGAUACUCUGAAUUAGUAUCUUAGAUUAUACAGACAUGCAACUCAUUUUUGCAUGUUUCAAUUAUUUUAUAGAAUGGCCGACAAUGAUCGAAAUUGGAUGUACAACCUGUUAAAUCUCCUGUCGAGAGAUCUCUUCCAAACCCAAUUGCGAGAAUGAGGGCCAGAAUUGGGCGGAACUGCACAACGAUAGGAAUGGGG
This 2246-nucleotide long non-coding RNA is filed under the name Zostera marina. Its description in RNAcentral is "long non-coding RNA (ZMAR_LNC004245)". The record is from RNAcentral. Lineage: Eukaryota; Viridiplantae; Streptophyta; Magnoliopsida; Alismatales; Zosteraceae.